Molecule: ribosomal RNA, 574 nt
Filed under: uncultured fungus
Lineage: Eukaryota; Fungi
Description: eukaryotic LSU rRNA
Rfam family: 5.8S ribosomal RNA (bases 216-369)
Source: RNAcentral
UUGGUCAUUUAGAGGAAGUAAAAGUCGUAACAAGGUCUCCGUUGGUGAACCAGCGGAGGGAUCAUUACCGAGUUUACAACUCCCAAACCCCUGUGAACAUACCAAUUGUUGCCUCGGCGGAUCAGCCCGCUCCCGGUAAAACGGGACGGCCCGCCAGAGGACCCCUAAACUCUGUUUCUAUAUGUAACUUCUGAGUAAAACCAUAAAUAAAUCAAAACUUUCAACAACGGAUCUCUUGGUUCUGGCAUCGAUGAAGAACGCAGCAAAAUGCGAUAAGUAAUGUGAAUUGCAGAAUUCAGUGAAUCAUCGAAUCUUUGAACGCACAUUGCGCCCGCCAGUAUUCUGGCGGGCAUGCCUGUUCGAGCGUCAUUUCAACCCUCAAGCCCAGCUUGGUGUUGGGACUCGCGGUAACCCGCGUUCCCCAAAUUGAUUGGCGGUCACGUCGAGCUUCUAUAGCGUAGUAGUAAAACCCUCGUUACUGGUAAUCGUCGCGGCCACGCCGUUAAACCCCAACUUCUGAAUGUUGACCUCGGAUCAGGUAGGAAUACCCGCUGAACUUAAGCAUAUCAAUAAG